CCCUGUGUUCGUAAGUGAUCAGGGGAUACCCAUGCCCUGACCGCUGGUAGUGCAGGCAGAGGAAAUAUGGAACGAACUGUCCCAUGCUUGGAAGGUCCACACCCAUGCCUUCCAGUGCUGGGAGUUUUCCCACA
RNAcentral lists this small nucleolar RNA (134 nucleotides) under Mus pahari (shrew mouse). RNAcentral describes it as "predicted gene, 25187 (MGP_PahariEiJ_G0034571.1)". It matches the Rfam family "Small nucleolar RNA SNORA71". From Rfam's summary of the family: The members of this family belong to the H/ACA class of snoRNAs which bind a number of proteins (including dyskerin, Gar1p and Nop10p) to form snoRNP complexes. This class of snoRNAs are thought to guide the sites of modification of uridines to pseudouridines by forming direct base pairing interactions with substrate RNAs. The record is from RNAcentral. Lineage: Eukaryota; Metazoa; Chordata; Mammalia; Rodentia; Muridae.